This 494-nucleotide ribosomal RNA is filed under the name uncultured bacterium. Its description in RNAcentral is "partial 16S ribosomal RNA". It matches the Rfam family "Bacterial small subunit ribosomal RNA", at positions 28 to 507 of the family's 1533-position model. The record is from RNAcentral.
GACGAACGCUGGCGGCGUGCUUAACACAUGCAAGUCGAACGGAAAGGCCUGUCCUUCCUUGUGUUGGACGGGUACUCGAGUGGCGAACGGGUGAGUAACACGUGAGUGAUCUGCCCCCAACUUGGGUAUAAGCCUGGGAAACUGGGUCUAAUUCCCGAUAGGACUGCAGGGUGGUGCCUGUGGUGGAAAACGAUUUUCUAGUGGUUGGGGAUGAGCUCGCGGCCUAUCAGCUUGUUGGUGGGGUAAUGGCCUACCAAGGCGGCGACGGGUAGCCGGCCUGAGAGGGUGGACGGCCACAUUGGGACUGAGAUACGGCCCAGACUCCUACGGGAGGCAGCAGUGGGGAAUAGUGCCCAAUGGGCGGAAGCCUGAUGCAGCGACGCCGCGUGGGGGAUGACGGCCUUCGGGUUGUAAACUCCUUUCGACCGCGAGGAAGCCGCCUGGUUGGAAGGGUGGUGACGGUAGUGGUAGAAGAAGCACCGGCUAACUACGUG